RNAcentral lists this long non-coding RNA (2743 nucleotides) under Homo sapiens (human). RNAcentral describes it as "non-protein coding lnc-TRIM15-2:1". Lineage: Eukaryota; Metazoa; Chordata; Mammalia; Primates; Hominidae. The record is from RNAcentral.
AGGCGGGACCGAGGCUGCGCCAAGAGCCGCAGCCUGAGUUUGGCGCGUAAUUGGGGUGGCCUGUUACACGGUCUAAGGGAGUAAAUGCUAAGGCUUAGGAGUCACCUACGUAGGACUCUUGAGAGGGCAAUAAUCCCCUUUCCACCUCUCGAGACCCCUCACUGCCCAACUCUGGCCUUAUGCUGGAUCAGGGUCCGAGGGCGCUUUGAGGCGAAGGUGGCGCUCGCCAGGUGCUCAACAUCAAAUACGAAGUCCCCGCCCCUAACGUGGCCUAAAUUUGCUUCCAGGACAAAGCAGGAUUUUAGCAAGCAAAUACUCUCAGAGACCUAUUUACGAAAAUUAUUACUUCCUAGGUAAAAUAACGUUCAACCAGACAGCCAUUGUCGCCAUUCGACGGAAGGAAAAACUGAGGUUCCAGGAGCUUAAGGGUCUGGGCCCAGUUCAGGGGGGUUGUUUUCGCUCCUCGACGCUGAAUUUAGAAACCAGAGGCUACAAAGCGGGCCGAGACUUGGGUUCCCCAGGUCCUUGGUGGGGAGGUUUCCAGGAGGCUCGGGCGCGCCCCCGUCCACGGCCCCGGAAGCUGACGUCGCCGAAGCGUACGCCGCUGCCCAGCCUGCGCUCUCUUCCUGCUCUGCCUGCAGCCGCCGCGUCCGGUCCAGCCGCAGGGCCAUGCCCUGUGCUGCGGUUGCCGUGUCCCAGGCGCCGCCGCGUCAAGAUCCCCGUCUUUCCCGGCCAGCCAGGCGGCAGCGGCAUUCAGCUCGUGCACUGGGCUGGCAGCAGGCUGAGAAGAGGCGGCGCAGGUUCUCCGGGUCAGCCAGUGCCCUGCUCCUAAGGGUAGAGAUCUAGCUGGGGACACUGGUCGGUGGGCUACAGUUGUUUGGGUAUUCAUGAAUGGAGGAGCUCAGGGUCCUAGACCCUAAAACCUGCUGAAUCUUCACCCCUCCUCCGCUGGGGGUAGGGAAAUUUGCACUGCAUUUAAGCAAUGUAUAGUGGAGUGGGUGGGACAUUCAGAAGAAACCACGCCCACAUUUAACACCCGCGUCCUUCCCUUCUACCCCAGCCCAGCAUUUUGUCUUUUUCCCCUUUGUCCAGCAGUAUAACUCACGCUGCCCCUCCGGGCUGAGAGGAGUGUAGACCUCACCUGCUGAGCACAACUCUGGCGGGCCUGUGCUCUGGAGGUGGUCUCAGCACCUACCUAGACCCUCUUGAUACCUGCUUUUUUAGUUGGUGGUGUGGGAAGAAAGUGUGUUUAACAUGCUCCUUAAAUAAUGCUCUGCCGCCGAGCGCGGUGGCUCACGCCUGUAAUCUCAGCACUUUGGGAGGCCGAGGUGGGCGGAUCACGAGGUCAAGAGAUCGAGACCAUCCUGGCCAACAUGGUGAAACCCCGUCUCUACUAAAAAUACAAAAAUUAGCCGGGCGUGGUGGCGCGCACCUGUAGUCCCAGCUACUCAGGAGGCUGAGGCAAGAGAAUCGCUUGAACCCGGGAGGCGGAGGUUGCAGUGAGCCGAGAUCGCCCCACUGCACUCCAGCCUGGGGACGGAGCGAGACUCCGUCUCAAAAAAUAAUAAUAAAAUAAAAAAUAAUGCUGUGCCACUAAGCGUUUUCUCCCUGUCCUGAGGUCUUUGGCCUAUUCACAGACCAUUCUGGGCAGACUCCAGCCACAAAUCCACCACCCCACUUAAAAUUCUCUAUCCUCUCAGCACACUUAGAGGGGCAUGGAAGACUCUUGCAGGGGCUGGGGCUCCUGACAUGACAGCUCUGCUUAACUCUCUGACCUCCCUCAUGCCACUUCUCCCUCGGUCCCUGUGCUUUCACCUUACACCUGGUCUUGAAACUCCCUGCCCCAGCCCCUUGCAUGGCUGCCCGCUUCUUGUCAGUCAUGUCUACAUCUCAGAAAGGUCUUCCUCCCUCACCCAGUUGAAACCAGUUCCCCAUCAUGCAUUAUUCUGUUUCCCUUUCUUCAUGCAUUUGUUGCCAUUUGAAAGCACCUUGUUCAUUUCUUUGUCAAUGUGUUUAUUUUCGAUCUUCCUCCCCCUCAGUGUACGCCCCAAGAGAGUUGAGACAACACCUGUCUUCCAUGCACAUGGCUUCCAUGUAAAUAAAUGUUUGUUAAAUGAAAUGAGCUCAGUGUGGGCAUUUCUUUUUCUUUUUGUAAAAAAAUUUUAUUAUUAUUACACUUUAAGUUUUAGGGUACAUGUUCACAACGUGCAGGUUUGUUAUCAUUUAGCAUUAGGUAUAUCUCUCCUAAAGCUAUCCCUCCCCCCUCCCCCCACCCCACAACAGCCCCUGGUGUGUGAUGUUCCCCUUCUUGUGUCCAUGUGUUCUCAUUGUUCAAUUCCCCAGUGUGGGCAUUUCUAAAGCUGCCUGGCCCUGCUUGGCUGGGUAUCAGUCAUGCACUGAGUCCCUCUCCCACCACACUACAUCUUGAUUGAUACAGCUUCUCAAGUCCAAGUAAGGGUAACAGAAAUGGAUGCUGGGAACACAAUUUCUGCUUUGUGUUGGAGGAGACAGCUUUGGAGCAGCUUUGUAGCUUUGUGCCCCUCUACAGCUUCCUGCUUCAUUUAAGGUUCUGAAGCAGAGUUGAAAUUCCUUCCUCCAGCUCUCCAUUUCUGUGGUCAUACCAGAUGGAGGCCAAGGCAGCAUAUGGGGCUGGGUAAGAGUUCUGCGUUGAAUUCUCCAGUCUGCCACAUUCUGUGAGGCUUUGGGGCAGCUGCUCAACCUCUGUGUGCCACAGGUUCUUCUU